Poeciliopsis prolifica (blackstripe livebearer) is the source of this 1085-nucleotide long non-coding RNA. RefSeq lists it as uncharacterized. Lineage: Eukaryota; Metazoa; Chordata; Actinopteri; Cyprinodontiformes; Poeciliidae. The record is from RefSeq and is a predicted model, not a curated record. The transcript is spliced from 3 exons.
UAUAGACACAACAGAUAUACACACUUUGGGGAAUGCCUGGUGAUUUUAACUGGAUCUUAUUCUCUUCCAGUGGCAGGAUGGAUUGAAGGCAGCUGAUUGUAAUUAGUUUGGCUCUAUCCUCAAAAAGGACUAGGCCAGGAGCUGUGGCUGCCUGAAGAACAGGAGCUGGUGGGAAAAGACCAGUUUGGACAGCGGACAGGAACUUUGCUCUUGGAUUGUCAAUGUAUUGAUAUGGAGCCAAGGCAAAAAUUCAAGCUGGGAGACUCGACCCAGCUUCUCCACAUCACCUAAUCACAACGCCUCGUUGCAGCCAACCAGGAUCAGGACCACCGCACCGUUCCAGCCUAUCAUCGUUCAAGGACGCCUUCAAAAGUUCAAGCUGCCUUGGGUCUUCCUGCUUGUCAGCCGCGCUUUGACCCACCUCCUCCCCAUCUCCACCUUCGCCCUGACGGAUCUCUUCCAGAAGCCCUUUGCACUCCUCCAUCUCCAGGCUCCGCUCCUCCACUGGCUUUGGUCCCGGGGGGAAGACUAUCCCGAGCUCGCCCGAGCCGACCUGCUGGCGGUGAACCUCGGCACACAAUCUUCUGCCAGGCCCAAGCACCAAAGAUCUUGUACCAUUCAAAUCUUUUAACUGCUAUUUUCUUCACUGUGUGAGUCUCUCCAGAUUGAAUUGGCAGUUAGUUUGUCCAUUUUUGUUUUAGGCCAUGUUAUAGUUCAUGCAUAUGGGAAAUGGCUACAAAGAGCUUGUAACCUGAAUGUCAGGAUUUCACUUAAAAACAAGAUUCAGGAAGCACAUUAAAAUCCCUGUGAUUUACAGAUUAUCAAACAAAAUGAGGCUUAGACUCUUUUACAUGAGUUGUUUGUAUUGCAAUGAUCAGAAUUAGUGAAAGCAGCUCUGGUAAUUAUUUCUGUUUAAAUAUUAGUGAGAGGAAGACCUGAAAGCAUUUCAAGUAAGCAGUGAAAGAAAGACACAUUUAUGUGAAGGUAUGUAGGUAAACCCACAAAGAUUGGAAAAAAAUAAAUUACCCUGGUGCCUACAAGUCUUGUUUUUUGUGGUAUUAAGAGGACUUUUACUAAAAUAGAAA